AAACAAGAAGACAUGGUUGAUGUGAACCUUAAGCCCACUGUGAAUUCAUCCCAGAGUGAGCAGCAAGGAGGAGGUUGCGCAUGUUAAGAGAUACUGUAUAAGAAAAGAUAGAAAUUGAAGCACUUUCAAUACUCAGUUAUACCCCCAAUUGGAAUUAAAAUACAUGAGGAAUGGUGAUUUUGACAAGAACUGCUCUGAGAUCAAGAACAUAUUUGCAACAGACUGAUGCUAUUUGUUCAAUAUGCCAUCAGGUUUCCAGUUUCUGAGGGCAGAAAUCCACAAGAUGGUAAAUCGACACUUGAUGUGUUUCAUUCGUUUUGUUUUUCAUUUUA
Molecule: unclassified non-coding RNA, 332 nt
Filed under: Hevea brasiliensis (rubber tree)
Lineage: Eukaryota; Viridiplantae; Streptophyta; Magnoliopsida; Malpighiales; Euphorbiaceae
Source: RNAcentral